UGGUCCCACCAGUCUCCUAGUGUAUGUCCU
Molecule: non-coding RNA, 30 nt
Filed under: Rattus norvegicus (Norway rat)
Lineage: Eukaryota; Metazoa; Chordata; Mammalia; Rodentia; Muridae
Source: RNAcentral